Molecule: ribosomal RNA, 525 nt
Filed under: uncultured eubacterium WR176
Lineage: Bacteria
Description: bacterial SSU rRNA
Rfam family: Bacterial small subunit ribosomal RNA
Source: RNAcentral
GAGUUUGAUCAUGGCUCAGAUUGAACGCUGGCGGCGUGCCUAACACAUGCAAGUCGAGCGGUAACAGGUGUAGCAAUACAUGCUGACGAGCGGCGAACGGGUGAGUAAUGCUUUGGAAUCUUCCCAGUAGUGGGGAAUAACCAGUCGAAAGAUUGGCUAAUACCGCAUACGUCUGUAAAGGGAAAGCGGGGGCUCGUAAGACCUCGCGCUAUUGGAUGAGCCAAAGUCGGAUUAGCUAGUUGGUGGGGUAAUGGCCUACCAAGGCGACAAUCCGUAGCUGGUCUGAGAGGACGACCAGCCACACCGGAACUGAGACACGGUCCGGACUCCUACGGGAGGCAGCAGUGGGGAAUAUUGGACAAUGGGGGAAACCCUGAUCCAGCGACGCCGUGUGUGUGAAGAAGGCCUGCGGGUUGUAAAGCACUUUUAGUGGGGACAAAAAGCUACGGAUUAAUACUCUGUGGUCUUGAUUUAACCCAAAGAAAAAGCACCGGCUAACUCUGUGCCAGCAGCCGCGGUAAUACG